GCUGUCCGUUGCUAUGAUAUAAUUGCUAUUAAUUUUUAUGUAUUGUUGUAUUCUAUAUUCUUGCUAAAUAAGUUUGUUAGUUCUAGGUUUUGGUCAGUUCCUUAGGAUUUUCUGUUUCAUAUAAGAUCAUAUCAUCUGAAACUAGGAAUUGUUUUACUUCUUCCUUUCCAGUGUGGAUGCUUUUUGUUUCUUCUUGCCUAAGUGAUGAAAAACGUCAUGAAGAAAGGCUUUGAGAUGAGGAGCCAGCCCCACCUGUGACAGACUCCUGACCCCAGUUCAUAGGGAGAUCCAUCUUUUACUCAUGUGGUGCGGAAGAGUUUGAGGGGAUUCUGCAUGUGUUAUCCUAGUGAUGUCUGAUAAUUCUGUGAGAAUUAGGUAGUGUCUGCUUUUCCAUGAAAAAGUGAGGCUCAGAGGAUAAGCGCUGUGCCAGACAGAAGUGACAGUAGGCCACCUUCCCACCCAGGCCUGCUCACAGCCAGCUGCCCUGUCUGGCUGGCUCCCCAAUGUGGACCAAAUCCUGCCCUGGCACCACUCAACCCACCUGGGGCUUAUCUGCAAU
Molecule: long non-coding RNA, 559 nt
Filed under: Marmota monax (woodchuck)
Lineage: Eukaryota; Metazoa; Chordata; Mammalia; Rodentia; Sciuridae
Source: RNAcentral